GGCGAUCUGGCUCUGCGGCAGGUAUGCCUUUUGUGCCCCUCUAUUUACUUACUUACUAUCAGCAUGGUUUAGUUUAGAGAGAACUACAGUACUUUGAGGCUACUGUAUGUGGUGUGUUCCCUAUUGUGCAUGGAAGUUAUUUUUCUGGGCAUUAUUCUACAAGGACUGUGUGUAACUACUUAGAAGCAUGAAAUAGCUAUGUAGUCAUCUGCCCAGCCAAGUACAAGGUAAAGUUCCUUCCUAUAAUAGUAGCCUUACAUAUUAAGGUAAUGGCUUUCAUUCUUCGGGAUAUAGGUGUUUCAUGGUAUGGUAGAAAGUAUUGAUUGUGAAGGAUGGUUGCAACAUCUGAGCAAAUAGUUGGUUUGAACAUUUUGUAGUUGUGAUUUGCACUAGGAGUUGCUGGCCUUUUUCGUAUCAGCUUCAUCGUUGCCAUACUUUUUUGGUAGAUAUUUAAACAUAGCUCAGUACGUAUCACACUCGCAAAGGGAGAGACAAAGCGUAGUUAGAGUCGCACAAGCUACUUGCUUCUUUCCUGAACAAUUAGAUUAUGAUAUUAAUGCAAUGCCGAUUCCUACAUUCAGGUUUAUUAGUUGGUUUUUUAUAUUGGCUUUAGGACGGCCAGUGUAUUUUGGUUAAUAUAUAAUGUGCUGCCAUUUGUUAACUUAAAUAUAUUUUCAUGCAUUUUCUUUGUACAUUCUUUCCAUUCAGGUUGUUUAAUAUAUAUGUACUGCCAUUUAUUAACUUAAAUAUAUUUUGAUGCAUGCCCUUUGUAUAUUCUUUCUGUUUAGGUUGGCAAUCCAGUCACUUACUCUGUCAAUUAUAUUUCCUUUUUCUGUUUUCUAUCUCUCUUUACAUACAUGCCAUUGCCCACCAAGUAUCAUACUACCUCCAAUUUGGGACAGAUGAAGUACCUUUUAGUUUUGUAUGCCACUGAGUAUUAUUUGGUUACUACAAACCCAAGAUUGUAUGCAAAUUCAAGAAAAUGUAAUUUACUGUACAGAUCAGUGGUUUAUGCUUCCCAACACGGUAAUGGAACCUGCAGUAUGCAAAUUCCAGAAAAUGUAGUUUCAGGCACAAUAUAGUUUCCUGUGUGCACGACUGCAUGCUGUCUCCAAACCUUUAGUACAGGUUACAGUAUGAUAGGGAAACGCAUCAGCAACCCAAUCUACAUAAGUGAUGAAGAAGGUCAUAGCAACUUACUCCCCCCGUAAAGAAAUAAUAAGAGUGUUUAGAUCACUAAAGUAGUGAUCCAAACACUCUUAUAUCUCUUUACAGAGGGAGUACUUGUUUACUUUACAGUCUUUUUACACCUUUGAUUAAUGCUGACUAUUUGAGCACUGACUAAUUACUUUGAAGCCCACCACUGCACCAAGAAGCUGAAAGAUUCAGCUUAAAACAAAACAACAUGGCAACAUCACAAGAACCUCAACUAAGGUACCAACUUUGCUAAUGUCAAAAGAGUUCUACAUUUGAUUUUGCCGUGUCAAAAGUUGAGUGGUUAUUUCUUGAAAAAAAAAACUUGAGUAGUAUCUUUGCCAGUCUAUUUUGUGGGUCCAACAGAGUAGCAUGGAGGAACUUUGCCUCCAUUGUUUUUAUUUAUUAAAUUGGGCGGAAAAUACGAAUGUACAUCUUAUUGUGAGCAACAAGCCUCAUUUCUUUUUUCUUAUUAAAAGAGAGUAAAAUUGUUAAAAUGUGCUUGCCCACAACUAAACCAAAUAAUAUAUGGAUUUUUUUUCAUUGCACACAUGGAUUUAGAAGGCCUCUGCGCCAUUUGGCGCAAUGGGUUACCAAAUUUCUGUGUGCAGUGGGCCGGGCCUCUGCGCCAUUUGGCGCAACAGAUUACCGCAGUGGGCUGGGAUUCGGGGUCAUCCUUCUCACCACCAGUCGAACAUACUACCCAAUUUCUGUGUGCAGUGGGCUUGGAGCCGGGGUCAUCCUUCUCACCACCAGUCGAACAUACUACUUCAUCCACCAUGUCGAGCGAUAUAAAACUGUUAUCUGUUUCAUAGAGCAACAACACGAGAUUGUGCCCCCUCUUGAUCCUGGUGCAUAUUGCUGCCCUCCUCCCCCCUUUUGAUUCGAGUUUCUUUACAUUGUGUGAAGUUGUGUACUUCCAACUUUACAAAGCUAUACCAAAUUCGCAACUGUACUUGGCUAUACCUGUAAGUGAUGCAUUUCUCUGCAGGUUACUGACACUUUCUGAAAAAGUAUGGAUAUUGAAUGGAAGACGGGAGAAUGAUUGAUGAAAACAGACAACACUAGAAGUGAAUGCAUUAUUAGUCAAUGGAAACAUGAUUGUUUUAUACACUUUCUUUUACUGAGGAUGAACUUUGUGUUGCAUGCUAUGAACAAAUGUAGUGUUUGACUAAUUUUGAAUUCUAUGUUGAUGCAACAAGUUCAUUCUUUCUGCUUAUAGUCUAUUGUUUUGUGGAAUCAUAAUGUGGGUGAUCCAUUUCUCUUAAAUGUAUUCAAUAAUGCUUCGCUUAUGGGCCAUAUUUAUAUUUGUUACUUGUGGACAUGUGCUUAAUGAUCACUAUACCAAUAUAUUUUUCU
This 2553-nucleotide long non-coding RNA is filed under the name Triticum aestivum (bread wheat). RNAcentral describes it as "long non-coding RNA (TAES_LNC020802)". The record is from RNAcentral. Lineage: Eukaryota; Viridiplantae; Streptophyta; Magnoliopsida; Poales; Poaceae.